CAGCAACGGAUCUCUUGGCUCUCGCAUCGAUGAAGAACGCAGCGAAAUGCGAUAAGUAAUGUGAAUUGCAGAAUUCAGUGAAUCAUCGAAUCUUUGAACGCACCUUGCGCUCCUUGGUAUUCCGAGGAGCACGCC
Molecule: ribosomal RNA, 135 nt
Filed under: Dichomitus albidofuscus
Lineage: Eukaryota; Fungi; Basidiomycota; Agaricomycetes; Polyporales; Polyporaceae
Description: 5.8S ribosomal RNA
Rfam family: 5.8S ribosomal RNA
About the family: 5.8S ribosomal RNA (5.8S rRNA) is a component of the large subunit of the eukaryotic ribosome. It is transcribed by RNA polymerase I as part of the 45S precursor that also contains 18S and 28S rRNA. Functionally, it is thought that 5.8S rRNA may be involved in ribosome translocation.
Source: RNAcentral